CGAGGAGGCGGCAGAGAAAGUGGGAAUUCGGGCUUGACAGCACCGGCCCAGACUUCCUGGUUUAGAGAUCAGUCAGUUCCGGCAGCGACAGGGCUCCAGGUGCCUGUUUCCCUAAAGUGCUCCAAAUGGAUGAGACGUGUGGGACUCUGCGUGAAGGGGCAGGAAAGGGCUGUUUACAUCCACACCUGCUCGGCCCACCUGCCCUACAGACUCACGCUAUCAAAUGUUUUCUAGUUGCUAUGACAAUCAAAUCACAGAGCCAGUAUUUGUUAUUGUUCCAGAGGGAAAAAAAGGAAGGACGGUACUGUGAGGCCCAAGUUCAUGUGUCAGUGGGCAGCUGAGUCACCCUGCCAUGGUCUGCCGAGUCCCAGAGCCAUUUUCCUAGGGUCUGAGACUCACACCUGCCACCCCUCUUCCCCAAGAGGAUGGUCCCCUGUCCGAGUCUUUCAACAAGCCCAGGUGGCAGACACCCCGGCCUGAGGACCACCAGCAGCCUGCAGGUGGGCAGCGAAGUCACCCAUGAGGACUCUGCCCUGCCCCAUGGAGUGGCAACUACCAGGCACUGCUGAGACCUCUUUCCUGAGUAUC
RNAcentral lists this long non-coding RNA (588 nucleotides) under Heterocephalus glaber (naked mole-rat). Its description in RNAcentral is "lncRNA (ENSHGLG00100029623.2)". Lineage: Eukaryota; Metazoa; Chordata; Mammalia; Rodentia; Bathyergidae. The record is from RNAcentral.